Molecule: ribosomal RNA, 205 nt
Filed under: uncultured bacterium
Lineage: Bacteria
Description: partial 16S ribosomal RNA
Rfam family: Bacterial small subunit ribosomal RNA
Source: RNAcentral
UCAGUUCGGACUGGAGUCUGNAACCCGACCCCACGAAGCUGGAUUCGCUAGUAAUCGCGCAUCAGCCAUGGCGCGGUGAAUACGUUCCCGGGCCUUGUACACACCGCCCGUCAAGCCAUGAAAGCCGGGGGCGCCUGAAGUCCGUGACCGCGAGGGUCGGCCUAGGGUGAAACCGGUGAUUGGGGCUAAGUCGUAACAAGGUAUC